RNAcentral lists this long non-coding RNA (211 nucleotides) under Mytilus galloprovincialis (Mediterranean mussel). The record is from RNAcentral. Lineage: Eukaryota; Metazoa; Mollusca; Bivalvia; Mytilida; Mytilidae.
CAACUUACAAAAUACAAGAAUAUAGGGUUAUUGCAUGAAUAUUGGGGAAUAUUGUCCCGAGUAGAAUUCUAUAUUGCACGAGCUUGCGAGUGCAAUAUAUGUUCUACGAGGGACAAUAUUCAUGCAAUAACCCUUUUAUUGUAUAGCAAUAUAAUAUUUGACAGUAAAAAUUGGUUUAAACUAAGAUUUAAACGUUGAUGACGUCAUGAAU